This is a long non-coding RNA of Orcinus orca (killer whale), 1560 nucleotides long. RefSeq lists it as uncharacterized. NCBI's taxonomy places the organism in Eukaryota, Metazoa, Chordata, Mammalia, Artiodactyla, Delphinidae. The record is from RefSeq and is a predicted model, not a curated record. The transcript has 2 exons.
GAAAUGCAAAUCAAAACUACAGUGAGGUAUCACCUCACACUAGUUAGAAUGGGCAUCACCAGAAAAUCUACAAACAGCAAAUGCUGGAGAGGGUGUGGAGAAAAGGGAACCAUCUUGCACUGUUGGUGGGAAUGUAAAUUGAUACAGCCACUAUGGACAACAGUAUGGAGGUUCCUCAAAAAACUAAAAAUAGAAUUACCACAUGACCCAGCCAUCCCACUACUGGGCAUAUACCCAGAGAAAACCAUAAUUCAAAAAGACACAUGCACCCCAAUGUUCAUUGCAGCACUAUUUACAAUAGCCAGGUCAUGGAAGCAACCUAAAUGCCCAUUGACAGAUGAAUAAAGAAGAUGUGGUACAUAUAUACAAUGGAGUAUUACUCAGCCAUAAAAAGGAACGAAAUUGGGUCAGUUGUUGAGACGUGGAUGGAUCUAGAGACAGUCAUACAGAAUGAAGUAAGUCAGAAAGAGAAAAACAAAUAUUGUAUAUUAACACAUAUAUGUGGAACCUAGAAAAAUGGUACAGAUGAACCAGUUUGCAGGGCAGAAACAGACACAGAUGUAGAGAUCAAGCGUAUGGACACCAAGGGGGGAAAGUGGCGGGGGGGGGUGGGGGGGGGUGGGAUGAAUUGGGAGAUUGGGAUUGACAUAUAUACACUAACAUGUAUAAAAUGGAUAACUAAUAAGAACCUGCUGUAUAAAAAAAAUAAAAUAAAAUUCAAAAAUUCAAAACAAAAAAGAAUGUAAACAAAGGACGUUGCAGCCAUUCAACCUUUAGCCACUGCAGCAGUUUGCCCUCACCCGCACAGCGCACCCUGAGGGGGUUCAGGAUGGAGAGAAAACAGGAUACUGGCCAUAGAUAGUUAACGUACAUGUCAAAGGAAGAAUUUAAAUAAGCCCAGACUCUUGCAUCUUCUCAUACACAGAAAAGUGCUAAAUUCAUUAACUUGGGAUGUCUGGUUUUUCCUUAAUUAGCAGUAAUAUUGAUAUUUUGAUGUUCGACCUUUUUUUUUUUUUUUUUUUUUUUUUUGCAAAAACUCCUAUAUAUCCUGACUCCUCCCUUAGGAUGUAUCCCAGGCUUAAAUCCUCAUAAUGUCCCUAAAUAAAGCAUAAUCCUCAACUUUUAGUUGUGCAUUUUUUUUCAGUCGACAGUAGUAUAUCAAGGCAUAUGCUAUGAGAUAUGGGUUCAAAUUUUUAACUGGUUUCAAAUAACUGAAAAGAAUUCCCAAUACCAUUUAUUAAAAGUUCCAUCUUUGUUCCACAGACUUGAUGUUCUUCUAUGUAUUUGAAUUUAUUUCUGACUUUCUUUUCAAUUCUAUUUGUCGGUCUGUUCAUGCCAUUAUUACAAUAUUUUAAUUAUUCAAAUUCUAUACUAUAUUUCAAUACCUGAUGGGGCUAAAACCCCCAUACAGCUAUUUGUUUGUGGCUAUUCUUUUACUUUUCAUGUAAAUUUUAGAAACAGCUUGUCUGGUCUUAUGGGGAAAAAUACCUGAUCUCAUUAAAUUCAUACCUUAGCCAAGGGAGAACCAACAUCUUUGUGUUGUCUUCUUAUCCAAGGACA